Long non-coding RNA from Rattus norvegicus (Norway rat), 621 nucleotides. RefSeq lists it as uncharacterized. The record is from RefSeq and is a predicted model, not a curated record. NCBI's taxonomy places the organism in Eukaryota, Metazoa, Chordata, Mammalia, Rodentia, Muridae.
GUGACAGAUGAGGGUGCAGUGGUGCUUGGGAUUAUGGGACAGAAUUGCUCCAGUACUGGAUGGGAUGUAUACUCCCUAAAGUCCCUUCUCCUUCCCGCCCAUCUUCUGCCUCAGCUGUUGAAAGCCAGGGGCUCAUAGGGAGUAAAAGGGAGAGAGCCAGGGAUGAAAAGGGAGCCUCUCUUCUCUCUCGCUAGACCAGACACCUGAUGCCGAGGAGGACCACACUGUCCUACGUCUGAGCCCACACAGUCCACCUCCUGUGGGAGUCACCAUGUCACCUGCAAGAUACAUCCGCUGUCAGAUGCCAGAAACAGCCCUCAGAGUCUCUCCACAAGCAAAAGCCAUCCUCAGAGAAAGAUGCUGCAUUGCAGAAAGAUGCCCUUGACCCCUUGCGAGUCUGGAGAGAUGACUUAGCGGCCAAGAACACUUGCAGGAGCUUCUAUGGAAACAAGUUCAGUCCCCGGAUUCAAUAGGGGUCCUAUAUCUCCACCUCUAAGGAAUCUGAUGCCCUCUUUUGACCUCUGUAGGUAACUGCUUUAGUGUACACCCAUCCACACAGAUGAGCAUGCAGACACAUAAUGAAAACAAUUCUCAAAUAAAAAGAUGGCUGUGUACUUGUAA